This 508-nucleotide ribosomal RNA is filed under the name uncultured bacterium. RNAcentral's name for it is "partial 16S ribosomal RNA". It matches the Rfam family "Bacterial small subunit ribosomal RNA", at positions 30 to 523 of the family's 1533-position model. The record is from RNAcentral.
AUUGAACGCUGGCGGCAUGCCUUACACAUGCAAGUCGAACGGCAGCGGGGGAGAAGCUUGCUUUUCCUGCCGGCGAGUGGCGAACGGGUGAGUAAUACAUCGGAACGUGCCCUGUAGUGGGGGAUAACUAGUCGAAAGAUUAGCUAAUACCGCAUACGACCUGAGGGUGAAAGUGGGGGACCGCAAGGCCUCAUGCUAUAGGAGCGGCCGAUGUCUGAUUAGCUAGUUGGUGGGGUAAAGGCCUACCAAGGCGACGAUCAGUAGCUGGUCUGGGAGGACAAUCAGCCACACUGGGACUGAGACACGGCCCAGACUCCUACGGGAGGCAGCAGUGGGGAAUUUUGGACAAUGGGCGAAAGCCUGAUCCAGCAAUGCCGCGUGUGUGAAGAAGGCCUUCGGGUUGUAAAGCACUUUUGUCCGGAAAGAAAUGGCUCUGGUUAAUACCUGGGGUCGAUGACGGUACCGGAAGAAUAAGGACCGGCUAACUACGUGCCAGCCGCCGCGGUAA